RNAcentral lists this ribosomal RNA (500 nucleotides) under uncultured bacterium. RNAcentral's name for it is "bacterial SSU rRNA". It matches the Rfam family "Bacterial small subunit ribosomal RNA", at positions 8 to 521 of the family's 1533-position model. The record is from RNAcentral.
AGAGUUUGAUCCUGGCUCAGGACGAACGCUGGCGGCGCGCCUAACACAUGCAAGUCGAACGAGAGAGAGGAAGCUUGCUUCCUCAAUCGAGUGGCGAACGGGUGAGUAACGCGUGAGGAACCUGCCUCAAAGAGGGGGACAACAGUUGGAAACGACUGCUAAUACCGCAUAAGCCCACAGGUCGGCAUCGGCCAGAGGGAAAAGGAGCAAUCCGCUUUGAGAUGGCCUCGCGUCCGAUUAGCUAGUUGGUGAGGUAAUGGCCCACCAAGGCAACGAUCGGUAGCCGGACUGAGAGGUUGAACGGCCACAUUGGGACUGAGACACGGCCCAGACUCCUACGGGAGGCAGCAGUGGGGAAUAUUGCACAAUGGGGGAAACCCUGAUGCAGCGACGCCGCGUGGAGGAAGAAGGUCUUCGGAUUGUAAACUCCUGUUGUUGAGGAAGAUAAUGACGGUACUCAACAAGGAAGUGACGGCUAACUACGUGCCAGCAGCCGCGGU